AGAAACACUUUAGUUAACAUUGCACUAUAUGGUAUCUGCACUCAGCAAUACCUCCUGCUGAUGUGUUCAAAGGACAGUGCAAUAGAAAUUCAAUAUCUG
Long non-coding RNA from Dipodomys spectabilis (banner-tailed kangaroo rat), 99 nucleotides. RefSeq lists it as uncharacterized. The record is from RefSeq and is a predicted model, not a curated record. Lineage: Eukaryota; Metazoa; Chordata; Mammalia; Rodentia; Heteromyidae. The transcript is spliced from 3 exons.